UCACUGUGCGGCUGAAACGGUCCUCGAGUG
Molecule: non-coding RNA, 30 nt
Filed under: Mus musculus (house mouse)
Lineage: Eukaryota; Metazoa; Chordata; Mammalia; Rodentia; Muridae
Source: RNAcentral